This 85-nucleotide transfer RNA is filed under the name Felis catus (domestic cat). It matches the Rfam family "tRNA". Rfam says of the family: Transfer RNA (tRNA) molecules are approximately 80 nucleotides in length. Their secondary structure includes four short double-helical elements and three loops (D, anti-codon, and T loops). The record is from Rfam by way of RNAcentral. Lineage: Eukaryota; Metazoa; Chordata; Mammalia; Carnivora; Felidae.
GCCUGUGUGGCUCAGUCGGUUGAGUGUCCGACUUCAGCUCAGGUCAUGAUCUCGUGGUUCGUGGGUUCGAGCCCCUCAUCGGGCU